This is a non-coding RNA of Xyrichtys novacula (pearly razorfish), 570 nucleotides long. The record is from the annotation of a GenBank genome assembly. Lineage: Eukaryota; Metazoa; Chordata; Actinopteri; Labriformes; Labridae.
GUGAUAAGAAGCUGAUAAUCACAGGUAACCGGCAUAACUUCGUUCUCAUUCAUCCUCGCAGCGCCUCAGCGCUUUAAACAGCCGUACGCUGGGCUUCUGCUGACUUCAAUGUGGAAGCUUAAAGUGGGUUGUUCCAGCAGCGAAACUAGACGCUCAUUGGAUAAAUGCUGGGCUUUGUCCCGCCCAUCGGAAGCCCAGCUUCACUGGAGUUCUAUGGCGAGAGGGCGGUCCCGACUUUCUCCCGGACUCCGAGCUUCUGCAUCCAUGAUUGGAUGAGCUGUCUGAGGCGAAAUCCUUUUUUGAUUGACAGCUAAACAAGCGAAUCAGCGAUCUUGAAGAAUAAAACAUCUACCAGAGCAUUUUCCAAGUUAUUCAUUCCGUUGUUCUUAACUGCUCCGGAGACUUUACCGAUCCUCAGCGACUUUUGUCUUUGUUAAAAACGACUGCCGUUGUGUUUGGCGACUCUGUUCUGUUACAUACUAAUAAACAAAUACAAUUAUGAUGUAGGCCAGAAAAAUGAGCUUCCCCUCCUUGAAAGACCAGCAGCCGCCACUGAUAUACACAUAUUUU